GCGUGCGGGUGGGUUGCGGCUGCGGUCGAGAGGAGAGGAGAGGAGUCGGGUCGGGCGUGUGGUGGUGGUGGGUCGGUCGCGUCUACAAAGAGUGGCUGUUCAUGGUGCGGGACGAGGGGGAGGUGAGGCGGGGGCGGUGGGCCCCGGGGGCGUUCCGCCGCCGGCACGGCCGCCAGUGGAGGUCCAAGCUGCGGCGGGAGCGGCGCGCGGAGCCCUCCGACGACGGGGACGGCCGGAGGGGCGAGCGCCGCGAGCGGGCGGAGCGGCUGGAGGAGCGGCGGUGCGAGCGCCUGCGGCACGGGCGCGAGCGGCGGCACGGGCCCCUGCCCUUCUUCCUGCGGCAGCGGCAGCGGCGCGUGCAGCUGCGGCCGCAGCGCGAGGACCUGCGGACGUUGCGGUAGCGGCGGGCGCAGCUGGCGGAGGCGGCGGCGGCGGACGAGAGGGCGGAGCGCGAGGUGGAGCAGAGGAGCUGCGGGGGCUCGGGCAGCAGGGAGUCGGCGCGCGCACGGCGCGAGCGGCUAGCGCUGCCGGCGCCGCGCCCCCCGUGAGGGAGAAGACGAGACGGUCGCGAGGGAAGGUAGGGCAAGCAGCUGGGCGGGGCGCCGCCGGCGCCCGUCGUCGAGUGGCGGCGGCGCGCCCAGCAGGAGCGGCACUUGCGGCACAGGAGGGAGCGGCGCUGUCGGCGCCGGUGGUAGGAGCCGCCGUGAUCGUCGUGGUUGGCACUGAGGUGGAAGGGGGUCCAGAGGCCGCUGGAGGGCACCCGCCUUAGGAAGUUGCGCCAGAGGUCGGUCGAGAGGCGGGAGCGGUUUAGGCCGUGGUCGUUGCUCUAGGUGCGGCGCCUGCUGCGGCACCCGUUCGAGCGCCGUCAGGAGCUCACGCGCCGGGGCCUCCUCCGCCGCGACGCGCGGCGCUGCGUCCUCCACCUCUUCGCCUGCCUCCUCGACCGCCGCGCCGACCUCGCCCACAGCCUGCGGCAGUUGCCGCACAAGGCGCGCCGCGACGCAGAGGCGUUGCGGCUCGACCCGUCGAAGUACCGCCGGCCUGGGCGGCCGUUCCGCGGCGCGUCAUUCUUCAUCGGCAAGCGGCGAGUGGCGGCAACGAUAUGAUCAUGAUCAUCGUCAUUCAUGUCACGCACACAGCACAGGUUCACAUAUGUCUCGCUAUGUCUGUCUCAGUCCACGUCAUGUCCUGAUGUAUGUAUGUCGGUAUGUCAGCCACAUGACGACGCACACACGCAGCAGUUCCUACCUCCGGUGUACACUCCUAUGAAACGUAAAACGUGGGAAAACCUUUACACCUUAGGCCAAUUCCAUUUACUUUUCUUUUGGCAG
This 1331-nucleotide ribosomal RNA is filed under the name Triticum aestivum (bread wheat). Its description in RNAcentral is "partial small subunit ribosomal RNA". Lineage: Eukaryota; Viridiplantae; Streptophyta; Magnoliopsida; Poales; Poaceae. The record is from RNAcentral.